Molecule: RNA transcript, 1670 nt
Organism: Aethina tumida (small hive beetle)
Lineage: Eukaryota; Metazoa; Arthropoda; Insecta; Coleoptera; Nitidulidae
Gene name: ankyrin repeat domain-containing protein 40
Exons: 7
Source: RefSeq, a predicted model, not a curated record
GCAGUUGUCUAUUGGACAACAAUGUCCUGUCAAGCCGCCCAGAUGAUUUUUUCAUAAAAUGUCAAGCAUUUUAGAAGAAAAACUACGCGAGGCCUCCUGUUUGGGUGACACGGAAGCGGUUUUGGCCCUAUUAAGUCAGAACAUCAACGUAAACUCGAGCAAUAUCGUGAACGGCUGGACAGCUUUGCAUUGGGCUUGUAAAAGAAAUCACGAGGAUAUAGUACGUAUUUUACUCGAAAAUGGGGCUGAUAAGACUUUGCAAACGGUCAAAGGGGAAACACCCGCAUCGGUUUGCACUUCACAGAACAUUUUAGAUUUGUUAGGUGUUCCAUAUAAACCUGUUAAUAAUCAUAUGGAUGAAGAACUGGGUAUGAAAUUCACGCCAAAUUAUAUAAAAAAUCCUCCAAUUAAUGGUCAGGUUGAUAUUGGAAGGCUGAGGAGUAAACACACUGAUUUUUCUAACAUGCAGACCACUACACUUCCUGCUGCUCAAAAUGAUGAUUUGGUAUUGAAGGUGAAAGUUCAGGGUUCAAGUGAUCCAGAUUUUAUAGAAGUGGAAAUUCCCAGGUGGAAACUCACUUACAACACUUUGAUGAAGAUUUGCUGUGAAGAGUUGGAGAUUUUGGAAUGCCAGGUUGAAAGAAUUAGAAAGUUGCCAAAUACUAGAUUAAGAAAAGAUAGUGAUGUUAAAAGGUUGGUGGAUGGACAAGCUUUAGAGAUUGUUUUGAAGCCACCAACUGGAGAAAAAACGACAAAUUGCUAUCAAAGCAUAUCAACAUAUCCAAAAAAUGCUUAGAACACCACAAAAAUCCUGUUAUUAAAAUCAAGUUACCUGGUACAAAAUUGUUCUUAAAAUCAGAAGAAAACAGUGAUAUAAUUUACACAAAUGAACAUUUAAACCAUUUAAAACACGUGUUGGGUCAUUUAAGAGUUGAAAGAAGAUGCGGGAGGGCUCAGUCUGUUUGGAUGCAAGAAGAGAAACUGGUGAAGGUUACCAAAGUUGCUAAAAAUAUUGUUAAUUCAUUUGGAUUUCAAGAUAAAAAUGGAAUAUACUUGUAUCCAGAAGAGGCACUAUUUUUAAUGGAAACAAAUAAACUUGAGAUUCAAGUAAAUGAAAAUUCCUUAACAAUUCAAGAAAUGUAUGACUAUGUUUUAAAUUUACCUAACUGUGGUCUUAACAAAUAUUUGGUGUACAAAAAACUUGUUCUACAAGGAUAUAAAGUGAUGAAUAAAGAAGUAUAUGAAAGAAAAUUGAAAAGGAAACUAACAGCUGAAGAUUGUGCAAAUAAAAGAAAACUUGAUGUUGAAGAAAAAGUUGAUAAAAAACUUAAAAUUGAAGGAGAAACUUCCCAUCCCUAUUCAAGAUCAAAGGAAGAAAAGGUUACAAAUGUCAUUAAUGAAAUAUUCACCAAGUUGCAAAAGAAUGGCCCAAAAAUCUAUGAAGAUUUUAAUGAAAAUGAAGAUGUGGACUAUUUUGUGUUUUUGCCCAAAAAUGUUACAUUAAAAUACGAUUUUAGAGUGUUUGUCAGGUCUAAAUUGGAUUUUCAUGUUGAAUUUGGAACAAGUGAAAAAGACAUUUUUGGUGUUUGCUCUAAUGGAAGCGUAACUUUUUAUAAAAUAUCCAAAGUUUCUAUUCCUAAUUUAAGUUAAUAAACAAUUCAUGAGUAAAA